AUUGAACGCUGGCGGCAGGCUUAACACAUGCAAGUCGAGCGGAGAUGAGGUGCUUGCACCUUAUCUUAGCGGCGGACGGGUGAGUAAUGCUUAGGAAUCUGCCUAUUAGUGGGGGACGACAUUCCGAAAGGAAUGCUAAUACCGCAUACGUCCUACGGGAGAAAGCAGGGGAUCUUCGGACCUUGCGCUAACAGAUGAGCCUAAGUCGGAUUAGCUAGUUGGUGGGGUAAAGGCCUACCAAGGCGACGAUCUGUAGCGGGUCUGAGAGGAUGAUCCGCCACACUGGGACUGAGACACGGCCCAGACUCCUACGGGAGGCAGCAGUGGAGAAUAUUGGACAAUGGGGGGAACCCUGAUCCAGCCAUGCCGCGUGUGUGAAGAAGGCCUUAUGGUUGUAAAGCACUUUAAGCGAGGAGGAGGCUACUGAGACUAAUACUCUUGGAUAGUGGACGUUACUCGCAGAAUAAGCACCGGCUAACUCUGUGCCAGCCGCCGCUGUAA
RNAcentral lists this ribosomal RNA (501 nucleotides) under uncultured bacterium. RNAcentral's name for it is "partial 16S ribosomal RNA". It matches the Rfam family "Bacterial small subunit ribosomal RNA", at positions 30 to 523 of the family's 1533-position model. The record is from RNAcentral.